GAUGAACGCUGGCGGCGUGCCUAAUACAUGCAAGUCGAGCGAACAGACGAGGAGCUUGCUCCUCUGACGUUAGCGGCGGACGGGUGAGUAACACGUGGAUAACCUACCUAUAAGACUGGGAUAACUUCGGGAAACCGGAGCUAAUACCGGAUAAUAUAUUGAACCGCAUGGUUCAAUAGUGAAAGACGGUUUUGCUGUCACUUAUAGAUGGAUCCGCGCCGCAUUAGCUAGUUGGUAAGGUAACGGCUUACCAAGGCAACGAUGCGUAGCCGACCUGAUAGGGUGAUCGGCCACACUGGAAGUGAGACACCGUCCAGAGUCCUACGGGAGGCAGCAGUAGGGAAUCUUCCGCAGUGGGCGAAAGCCUGACGGAGCAACGCCGCGUGAGUGAUGAAGGUCUUCGGAUCGUAAAACUCUGUUAUUAGGGAAGAACAAAUGUGUAAGUAACUAUGCACGUCUUGACGGUACCUAAUCAGAAAGCCACGGCUAACUACGUG
This 497-nucleotide ribosomal RNA is filed under the name uncultured bacterium. Its description in RNAcentral is "partial 16S ribosomal RNA". It matches the Rfam family "Bacterial small subunit ribosomal RNA", at positions 28 to 507 of the family's 1533-position model. The record is from RNAcentral.